This 484-nucleotide ribosomal RNA is filed under the name uncultured bacterium. Its description in RNAcentral is "partial 16S ribosomal RNA". It matches the Rfam family "Bacterial small subunit ribosomal RNA", at positions 30 to 507 of the family's 1533-position model. The record is from RNAcentral.
AUUGAACGCUGGCGGCAGGCCUAACACAUGCAAGUCGAGCGGAUGAAGGGAGCUUGCUCCUGGAUUCAGCGGCGGACGGGUGAGUAAUGCCUAUGAAUCUGCCUGGUAGUGGGGGAUAACGUCCGGAAACGGGCGCUAAUACCGCAUACGUCCUGAGGGAGAAAGUGGGGGAUCUUCGGACCUCACGCUAUCAGAUGAGCCUAGGUCGGAUUAGCUAGUUGGUGGGGUAAAGGCCUACCAAGGCGACGAUCCGUAACUGGUCUGAGAGGAUGAUCAGUCACACUGGAACUGAGACACGGUCCAGACUCCUACGGGAGGCAGCAGUGGGGAAUAUUGGACAAUGGGCGAAAGCCUGAUCCAGCCAUGCCGCGUGUGUGAAGAAGGUCUUCGGAUUGUAAAGCACUUUAAGUUGGGAGGAAGGGCAGUAAGUUAAUACCUUGCUGUUUUGACGUUACCAACAGAAUAAGCACCGGCUAACUACGUG